UGGGGAAUCUUGGACAAUGGGGGCAAGCCUGAUCCAGCCAUGCCGCGUGAGCGAUGAAGGCCUUAGGGUUGUAAAGCUCUUUCACCGGUGAAGAUAAUGACGGUAGCCGGAGAAGAAGCCCCGGCUAACUCCGUGCCAGCAGCCGCGGUAAUACGGAGGGGGUUAGCGUUGUUCGGAAUUACUGGGCGUAAAGCGCACGUAGGCGGACCAGAAAGUUGGGGGUGAAAUCCCGGGGGCUCAACCCCGGAACUGCCUCCAAAACUAUUGGUCUAGAGUUCGAGAGAGGUGAGUGGAAUUCCAAGUGUAGAGGUGAAAUUCGUAGAUAUUUGGAGGAACACCAGUGGCGAAGGCGGCUCACUGGCUCGAUACUGACGCUGAGGUGCGAAAGUGUGGGGAGCAAACAGGAUUAGAUACCCUGGUAGUCCACACCGUAAAACGAUGAAUGCCAGUCGUCGGGUAGCAUGCUAUUCGGUGACACACCUAACGGAUUAAGCAUUCCGCCUGGGGAGUACGGUCGCAAGAUUAAAACUCAAAUGAAUUG
This 541-nucleotide ribosomal RNA is filed under the name uncultured bacterium. RNAcentral's name for it is "bacterial SSU rRNA". It matches the Rfam family "Bacterial small subunit ribosomal RNA", at positions 355 to 912 of the family's 1533-position model. The record is from RNAcentral.